Molecule: ribosomal RNA, 492 nt
Filed under: uncultured bacterium
Lineage: Bacteria
Description: partial 16S ribosomal RNA
Rfam family: Bacterial small subunit ribosomal RNA
Source: RNAcentral
AGUGAACGCUGGCGGUAGGCCUAACACAUGCAAGUCGAACGGCAGCACAGUAAGAGCUUGCUCUUACGGGUGGCGAGUGGCGGACGGGUGAGGAAUACAUCGGAAUCUACUUUUUCGUGGGGGAUAACGUAGGGAAACUUACGCUAAUACCGCAUACGACCUACGGGUGAAAGCAGGGGAUCUUCGGACCUUGCGCGAUUGAAUGAGCCGAUGUCGGAUUAGCUAGUUGGCGGGGUAAAGGCCCACCAAGGCGACGAUCCGUAGCUGGUCUGAGAGGAUGAACCGCCCAACCUGAAACUGGAACACGUCCCAACCCCCAACGGAGGCAGCAGUGGGGAAUAUUGGACAAUGGGCGCAAGCCUGAUCCAGCCAUACCGCGUGGGUGAAGAAGGCCUUCGGGUUGUAAAGCCCUUUUGUUGGGAAAGAAAAGCAGCAGGUUAAUACCCCGCUGUUCCGACGGUACCCAAAGAAUAAGCACCGGCUAACUUCGUG